GAAACAAAUAUACAAUUGCAGCUGCUUAGCUAAAAAAUGUUAAUCGGAAGAAGCAAAAGUGGAUGGCGUGGUGCCAGUAAGAUGGUAUCGAUAUGAUCUAGUCUCAAUUAAGUUAGUCGCAGAGGAGAAAUAAAACCUGAAAACAAUUUCACUCUAUAUUUACUUGUUCAAGUGCCAGUGAAACGAACGAUAGAAAAAAGAAGCAUUUAAAAUGUUCGCAAAAUUUUUGGUUUGGAUACAAAAAACGAAGUGAAAAUGAUCCUGGAAAGACUGUUUACCGUUUAACUCCUGUCCCAAUCUAACCUAGUGGGUUCAAAAAGAAGGGACCGCGCUGGAAACACGAGUGGAUUAAAAGGAUCAGCCCUUUUUGAAUUAAUAGUCGAAGUGGUAACCAGCUAGAAGUCGUAACCUGCUCGUAUGAAAGGUCUUCUCGACGUGAAAUUAUUAAUUUUAUCCAACAACGCCAAGAAACAGAGCUCGCUCAAGAAACAGAAAAGAAAGAGAAAGAUGAAAAAAUAUUCUGUUGAACAAUAUUAU
This is a long non-coding RNA of Hydra vulgaris (swiftwater hydra), 537 nucleotides long. RefSeq lists it as uncharacterized. The record is from RefSeq and is a predicted model, not a curated record. NCBI's taxonomy places the organism in Eukaryota, Metazoa, Cnidaria, Hydrozoa, Anthoathecata, Hydridae.